UAAUAACUGAGCUAUGUUAUUGCAUCAUGCGUAACACGUCUCUAUGUAAGAUGUCAAAUUCAAAUUAUUGACUUGAAUUCGGACUGGCAGGUGAAAAUUUCAUCAGCGGAAUUCAACGACAAUACUGCAUCAUAUAAUCUUAUGCAUGUUAUAUAUAGAAGGAAUUAAGCUAAAAAUAUGACAUCUGAUGAACCAACGAUUUUUCAAAUGAUAUUACAAAACAGUCCAGACUUAACGAGUAUGACUUAUCUAGGAUUACAUGAUCAUUACAUGAAGUUCAUCGACCCGGGUAAGAACCAGGCUCAGGGCAA
Molecule: long non-coding RNA, 311 nt
Organism: Mytilus trossulus (common blue mussel)
Lineage: Eukaryota; Metazoa; Mollusca; Bivalvia; Mytilida; Mytilidae
Exons: 3
Source: RefSeq, a predicted model, not a curated record